This is a long non-coding RNA of Dromaius novaehollandiae (emu), 503 nucleotides long. RefSeq lists it as uncharacterized. The record is from RefSeq and is a predicted model, not a curated record. The transcript has 3 exons. Lineage: Eukaryota; Metazoa; Chordata; Aves; Casuariiformes; Dromaiidae.
CAAAGCGUUACAUUCAGAAUUAGGGCUUGGGACAAAUACUGAUUUAUGAAUUCAAAAAUUGUGUUAUUUCCUUCGCACGCACACUGUAACCAUCAGGAACUUCAUGAUAAUUCAACACUUCAAGUGCUUUAAGACCUCCAAAAAAAUGAGCUAGCACGAUGGAAAAACAACAGCUUGGGAUGUCACACACGCUUCAAAGAUUUAAAAGGGGAAUAAAAGGAUCCUCCCCUCCUGCAGUGACUUUGCACGUCUAACCAGACACCGCGAGGGCACCUGAAUUUCAAGGAUCCGAAGGGAAGAGGAUUCACAGAAGGAGCGCUGGAGGAGACGCAAAAGUGCUGAUUUGCUUUGAGGAGGCGGUAUUGUGAAAAAUCGCUUGGCUUUUCAUGACCUGUGAGCUAAUCCAGCGCUUCUGUUCUCUUUAUAAAUGAGGUGAACUGGCUGGUCCAAUUUAUUUCAUUGAUGUGUGGUUUGUUGACACCUCUGGCAUGCAACAACAUACA